Molecule: long non-coding RNA, 1744 nt
Filed under: Capra hircus (goat)
Lineage: Eukaryota; Metazoa; Chordata; Mammalia; Artiodactyla; Bovidae
Description: lncRNA (ENSCHIG00010006033.1)
Source: RNAcentral
UGCUGCAGUCCAUGAGGUUGCAAAGAGUCUGACAUGACUGAGUGACUGAACUGAACGCACAGAAGAGAGCUGACGGGUGUGAGAACACAGGGAGAAGACGGCAUCUACCAGCCAAGGAGAGAGGCCUGGGAAGACCAAGCCUUGACCUUGGACGUCCAACCUCCAGAGCUAUGAACCGAUACAUUUCUGUGUUUAAGCCACCCAGAUGGCAGUAUCUCGGCGUGGCAGCCUAAGCAGGUCUGGGAGAGUCGUACAAAAGCUGUGGAGCUGUGAAGUGGGUGGGUCUAAGGAGAAAGGGCGUUCUGGGCAGUGGGAACAGGGAGCAACAGUACAAGUGCCUAAGUAACAGCCCCACUGGUGACUGGGACUGAAUGAAGGCAAGAGUGGGAGGAGGGUGGGUGGGGACUUCCCCAGUGGUCCAGUCAUUAGGGCUCCAUGCUGCCAGUGUAUGGGGCGCAGGUUCAAUCCCUGGUCAGGGAACUAAGAUCUCACAUGCUGUGUGGCCAAGAAAUUUUUUUUUUUUUUUAAAGGAAGAGGGUGAGUGGUGACAAGGGUGGUUGCUGCAAAGCCCUUACUCUGCUUUGAGCAAAAAGUGGACUCUGGAGUCCUGGAGGCUGACCAGUGAUGGGACCUGGCCUGGGCUUUGGCUUGAUCCCUUAGCUGGGUUGGACAAGGAUCAGGGUCAGCAAACUACAGCCUGCCCACCACCAGCUGAUUUUGAAAAUAGUUAGGUUGGAAUGCAGCCAUGUCCGUUCUUUUACAUACUGUCUACGAGUGCUUUCCAGGCUACAGUGCUGAGCAGCUGAGUACAGGAAGCAAAGCUAAAAGUAUUUACACUCUGCCCCCUGGGAGGACAAGAGUGCAGGCCCCUGGCGUUGAUGGUGGGGAUGAGUGUGGAUCAGAAGCUUGUGUCCCUCAAGCUCGGAGUUGUCAAAACUGAGAGUGAUAUCAGCAAGGUGACAGGGUAGGAAGCCCCAAAUCCUUCUUCCACGGGAAUAAUCGUGUAAUAACGAUACAUAGAUCAACUGCCUUUGAGAAGAAUCCAGAAACCAGUUAAGAGAGUCCGGCAUCUGAGAUGGACCAAGAAGAACCUUAUCAAAAUGGACAGGAAAAGGUGUGACAUUUGCUCAUGCUCGCCCUGCCCCCAGCACAGAAGAAUAUGACUGAUCAACAGCUCCCGACACUUGGCUGCUCCCUUGGGAGGGAAAGAGAAGCAUGGAACACUGGCCAAUACUCUGCCUUGGCUGAACCUAAAUGUUGACAGGGAAGGGAGCUAGGCUGGGGGCCACUGAGAACAAAAGGAAUUCCGUGGCAGUCCAGCGCCAGAGAGGCUGAAGUGCCACAGACAGAAGCUAGGGGGAAGUCCUCAGGAGAAACGGGUAGUCCUCAGAUAGGAGGUUACAUGGACCAGCAGAGAGAAUCCCAUCACCAGAAAAAGUCUCGCGAAGUCUCCAGAAUCUUUAACUGGUGGAUUGGUGAAGGUCUGUCUCUAUAAGCCAGAUUAUAGAGACUGAGAAAGGCGGUCAUUUUUUCUCCAAAUAUGUAAGUCCCAGCAAAGAAACAUGGAAAUAUAGACGAACCUUUUUGCUGGGUAGGAUUAGAGAUGCAGAUGUAAGCAAUGGAUGGCAGGGGUGGUGGGAUGGUGGUGGUGGGGCAAACGGGGACGUUGGGAUUGACGUGUGUGUAAAACAGACAACUAGUAGGAAGCUGCUGUGCAGCCCAGGGAGCUCAGCUCGAUGCUCUU